RNAcentral lists this non-coding RNA (29 nucleotides) under Mus musculus (house mouse). The record is from RNAcentral. Lineage: Eukaryota; Metazoa; Chordata; Mammalia; Rodentia; Muridae.
UGAGUUGAUCUUUCACUGGAUACAUUGGU